GAGUUUGAUCAUGGCUCAAAACGAACGCUGGCGGCAUGCCUAACACAUGCAAGUCGAACGAGACCUUCGGGUCUAGUGGCGCACGGGUGCGUAACGCGUGGGAACCUGCCCUUAGGUUCGGAAUAACUCAGNGAAAUUUGAGCUAAUACCGGAUAAUGUCUUCGGGCCAAAGAUUUAUCGCCUUUGGAUGGGCCCGCGUUGGAUU
Molecule: ribosomal RNA, 205 nt
Filed under: uncultured Alphaproteobacteria bacterium
Lineage: Bacteria; Pseudomonadati; Pseudomonadota; Alphaproteobacteria
Description: partial 16S ribosomal RNA
Rfam family: Bacterial small subunit ribosomal RNA
Source: RNAcentral